UUUCGAAUCAUUCACAAUGGGCGAAAGCCUGAUGGUGCGACGCCGCGUGAGGGAUGAAGGUCUUCGGAUUGUAAACCUCUGUCACCGGGGAGGAAACGCUUCAGGUUAAUAGUCUGAAGCCUGACUUAACCCGGAGAGGAAGCAGUGGCUAACUCUGUGCCAGCAGCCGCGGUAAUACAGAGACUGCAAGCGUUAUUCGGAUUCACUGGGCGUAAAGGGUGCGCAGGCGGCCGUGUGUGUGAGGCGUGAAAGCCCGGAGCUUAACUCCGGAAUUGCACCUCAAACUACACGGCUAGAGCAUUGGAGAGGGUAGCGGAAUUCACGGUGUAGCAGUGAAAUGCGUAGAUAUCGUGAGGAACACCAGAGGCGAAGGCGGCUACCUGGACAAUUGCUGACGCUC
Molecule: ribosomal RNA, 400 nt
Filed under: uncultured bacterium
Lineage: Bacteria
Description: bacterial SSU rRNA
Rfam family: Bacterial small subunit ribosomal RNA
Source: RNAcentral